RNAcentral lists this ribosomal RNA (516 nucleotides) under uncultured bacterium. Its description in RNAcentral is "partial 16S ribosomal RNA". It matches the Rfam family "Bacterial small subunit ribosomal RNA", at positions 355 to 887 of the family's 1533-position model. The record is from RNAcentral.
UGGGGAAUAUUGCACAAUGGGCGAAAGCCUGAUGCAGCAACGCCGCGUGAGUGAUGAAGGUCUUCGGAUUGUAAAGCUCUGUCUUUUGGGACGAUAAUGACGGUACCAAAGGAGGAAGCCACGGCUAACUACGUGCCAGCAGCCGCGGUAAUACGUAGGUGGCGAGCGUUGUCCGGAUUUACUGGGCGUAAAGGGUGCGUAGGCGGAUGUUUAAGUGAGAUGUGAAAUACCCGGGCUUAACUUGGGUGCUGCAUUUCAAACUGGAUAUCUAGAGUGCAGGAGAGGAGAAUGGAAUUCCUAGUGUAGCGGUGAAAUGCGUAGAGAUUAGGAAGAACACCAGUGGCGAAGGCGAUUCUCUGGACUGUAACUGACGCUGAGGCACGAAAGCGUGGGUAGCAAACAGGAUUAGAUACCCUGGUAGUCCACGCCGUAAACGAUGAGUACUAGGUGUAGGAGGUAUCGACCCCUUCUGUGCCGCAGUAAACACAUUAAGUACUCCGCCUGGGAAGUACGAUC